RNAcentral lists this ribosomal RNA (279 nucleotides) under uncultured bacterium. Its description in RNAcentral is "partial 16S ribosomal RNA". It matches the Rfam family "Bacterial small subunit ribosomal RNA", at positions 506 to 784 of the family's 1533-position model. The record is from RNAcentral.
UGCCAGCCGCCGCGGUAAUACGGAGGGUGCAAGCGUUGUUCGGAAUUAUUGGGCGUAAAGCGCGUGUAGGCGGUUCGUUAGGUUAGGGGUGAAAUCCCGGGGCUCAACCCCGGAACUGCCUCUGAUACUGGCAGUCUAGAGGUCGAGAGAGGUGAGUGGAAUUCCGAGUGUAGAGGUGAAAUUCGUAGAUAUUCGGAGGAACACCAGUGGCGAAGGCGGCUCACUGGACCACAUCUGACGCUGAGGUGCGAAAGCUGGGGGAGCAAACAGGAUUAGAUA